Molecule: non-coding RNA, 29 nt
Filed under: Homo sapiens (human)
Lineage: Eukaryota; Metazoa; Chordata; Mammalia; Primates; Hominidae
Source: RNAcentral
CAAUUGUUCAGGAUACACUUUAGAGGAGU